RNAcentral lists this unclassified non-coding RNA (226 nucleotides) under Hevea brasiliensis (rubber tree). Lineage: Eukaryota; Viridiplantae; Streptophyta; Magnoliopsida; Malpighiales; Euphorbiaceae. The record is from RNAcentral.
GAAAAAAAAAGGGUCCACUUGUUGUGAACAGUGCCGAUCAACGGUGCCCUCAUGAACAGUGCAUAUGAACAAUACACAUAAACAUUAUUAAAGCCUGUCCGAAUGAAUCAAAAGCUUUGAUAUCAAGUUGAAACUAUUAUAUUUGAGAGAAAUCUUUGUAUUUUUCACAUACAAAAUUUUUUGUACAUGCUUCUAUUUAUACACAAGUGAUUUAUCUUAACAAGGA